RNAcentral lists this long non-coding RNA (1321 nucleotides) under Salmo salar (Atlantic salmon). RNAcentral's name for it is "lncRNA (ENSSSAG00000089432.1, ENSSSAG00000112065.1)". Lineage: Eukaryota; Metazoa; Chordata; Actinopteri; Salmoniformes; Salmonidae. The record is from RNAcentral.
CGGUGACUGGAUGGCGUUCGCGCUUGUUGGAUGCAUCUCCGCCUUGUCGUUUGUCGUUAUCCGACUGGCCGUUGUUGCCCGGAGCUCCCCCAUCUGAUAGCGGAGUCAAAGGAGCACAGCAAGAGGAGCAAGGUAAUCAACGAUGGUCGCAUGUCACGAGCCGUGGAAGCCGAAGACACUGGCCUCCCGCAAAGCAGUCUACACUCCUAACGAGAGACCCAGAGUGAAUACAAACAACAAAUAGUUUCUCCGUCCUGGAGCCUGAUCUUCCGGCACCUUCGUCGGUGAGGGUACCUGUGUCUGUGGCCGCAGUGCCUACUCCUACGAUUUCAAAGUCGAUGUCGGCAACCUUCCGUCCCUAAUCUGGAUCGAGUGGGGCUUCUCCAUCUGUCAGAGGCCUUCACAAGGCGCUAGGUGCAACGAGCUCAAGUUAUCCUGCCUCUCGCCCAUCCAUAAAAGGUUCUCUGAAUCCUGUGAAGCGUGGGAGUGGGUGGAUUUCCUUAUCCUUCUCGCCAGCCAUGAUUUUGGGGAGCUCCAUGGUAAGGAAUGUGACCAUUCCUGGUGCAAAAAUAAUGUCCUAUCACAGAGCUCGAGUAAAUGACAUUACUAAGCUGCUCCCGAAUGCACUACGUUAGGUCAUGAAUAUUGAUUCUAUCGUAGUCCAUGUGGGUUUUAAUGACAUUAUGAAAGGUAGCUCUGAACAGUUGAAACUGGAUUUCAAAAUGCUGAUUGACUCUCUGCUAGACCCUAAUAAAAGACCCAUCAUAUCAGGUCCUGUGCCCUCUCUGAAUUGUGGCAUUGAACGCUUUAGCAGGAUUCUUUCUCUUCACAACUGUCUACGUGAUUAUUGCAGCUCAAUGGGUGUAACUUUUGUGGACAAUGUUGAUACCUUGUGGAAACAAAACACGUCUUAUAAGGAGGAUGGGAUCCACCCAAAUCACUUUUCACAGCAUUAUAAGGAUGUGUUGAGACAAUGACUUACCAAUGACCCAAGCCCAGCUCAGUUAAUCACUACCAUUGUGAUGCUGUGUUGUCAUAAUGCUUCAGAAAAUGUACAUUAUACCAGGGGUGUUGGUAGACACAAUUGUUUGUUUCCCAGUUUUCCCGGUUCUGACCAUUCUGCCUGCCCUGACCCCGAGCCUGCCUGCCGUCCUGUACCUGCCUGACACUGACCUGAUUAUGAAACUCUGCCUGCCCUGACCCCGAGCCUGCUUGCCGUCCUGUACCUGCUUGACUCUGACCUGACUCAUACCUCUGCCUGUCCUCGGCCUGCCCUUUGGCCCAUGUUAUAAUAAAUGAUUGAGAACUGUAAUGUCCGCCA